Molecule: ribosomal RNA, 257 nt
Filed under: uncultured bacterium
Lineage: Bacteria
Description: partial 16S ribosomal RNA
Rfam family: Bacterial small subunit ribosomal RNA
Source: RNAcentral
UACGUAGGGGCAAGCGUUUGUCCGGAUUUAUUGGGCGUAAAGAGCGUGUAGGCGGCCCAGGUAGGUCCGCUGUGAAAACUCGAGGCUCAACCUCGAGAUGUCGGCGGAAACCAUCUGGCUAGAGUCCGGAAGAGGAGAGUGGAAUUCCUGGUGUAGCGGUGAAAUGCGUAGAGAUCGGGAGGAAGGCCGGUGGCGAAGGCGGCGCUCUGGAACGUACCUGACGCUGAGACACGAAAACGUGGGGGAGCAAAACAGGG